Molecule: ribosomal RNA, 253 nt
Filed under: uncultured bacterium
Lineage: Bacteria
Description: partial 16S ribosomal RNA
Rfam family: Bacterial small subunit ribosomal RNA
Source: RNAcentral
UACGGAGGGUGCAAGCGUGACUCGGAAUCACUGGGCGUAAAGGGCGCGUAGGCGGACUAGCAAGUCUGGUGUGAAAGCCCAGGGCUCAACCCUGGAAGGGCACUGGAAACUGUUAGGCUUGAGUUCCGGAGAGGAGGGGGGAAUUCCCGGUGUAGCGGUGAAAUGCGUAGAUAUCGGGAGGAAUACCGGUGGCGAAGGCGCCACUCUGGACGGAAACUGACGCUGAGGCGCGAAAGCGUGGGGAGCAAACAGG